UGGAUCAAUGAUGGUGACUGUGGCAUAUGAGGCUUGGACAGUGAAUGAUUCGUGUCUGGGACUCUGACGUCCAA
Molecule: small nucleolar RNA, 74 nt
Organism: Manis pentadactyla (Chinese pangolin)
Lineage: Eukaryota; Metazoa; Chordata; Mammalia; Pholidota; Manidae
Product: small nucleolar RNA SNORD113/SNORD114 family
Exons: 1
Source: RefSeq, a predicted model, not a curated record